RNAcentral lists this ribosomal RNA (436 nucleotides) under uncultured bacterium. RNAcentral's name for it is "bacterial SSU rRNA". It matches the Rfam family "Bacterial small subunit ribosomal RNA", at positions 958 to 1392 of the family's 1533-position model. The record is from RNAcentral.
AACGCGAAGAACCUUACCAGCUUUUGACAUGCCCGGUAUGAUCGCCAGAGAUGGCUUUCUUCCCGCAAGGGGCCGGUGCACAGGUGCUGCAUGGCUGUCGUCAGCUCGUGUCGUGAGAUGUUGGGUUAAGUCCCGCAACGAGCGCAACCCUCGCCCUUAGUUGCCAUCAUUAAGUUGGGCACUCUAGGGGGACUGCCGGUGAUAAGCCGCGAGGAAGGUGGGGAUGACGUCAAGUCCUCAUGGCCCUUACAGGCUGGGCUACACACGUGCUACAAUGGCGGUGACAAUGGGAUGCGGAAGGGCGACCUCGAGCAAAUCUCAAAAAGCCGUCUCAGUUCGGAUUGCACUCUGCAACUCGAGUGCAUGAAGGUGGAAUCGCUAGUAAUCGCAGAUCAGCACGCUGCGGUGAAUACUUUCCCGGGUCUUGUACACACCG